GACCUAGCGGCGGACGGGUGAGUAAUGCUUAGGAAUCUGCCUAUUAGUGGGGGACAACAUCUCGAAAGGGAUGCUAAUACCGCAUACGUCCUACGGGAGAAAGCAGGGGACCUUCGGGCCUUGCGCUAAUAGAUGAGCCUAAGUCGGAUUAGCUAGUUGGUGGGGUAAAGGCCUACCAAGGCGACGAUCUGUAGCGGGUCUGAGAGGAUGAUCCGCCACACUGGGACUGAGACACGGCCCAGACUCCUACGGGAGGCAGCAGUGGGGAAUAUUGGACAAUGGGGGGAACCCUGAUCCAGCCAUGCCGCGUGUGUGAAGAAGGCCUUUUGGUUGUAAAGCACUUUAAGCGAGGAGGAGGCUACCGAGAUUAAUACUCUUGGAUAGUGGACGUUACUCGCAGAAUAAGCACCGGCUAACUCUGUGCCAGCAGCCGCGGUAAUACAGAGGGUGCAAGCGUUAAUCGGAUUUACUGGGCGUAAAGCGCGCGUAGGUGGCCAAUUAAGUCAAAUGUGAAAUCCCCGAGCUUAACUUGGGAAUUGCAUUCGAUACUGGUUGGCUAGAGUAUGGGAGAGGAUGGUAGAAUUCCAGGUGUAGCGGUGAAAUGCGUAGAGAUCUGGAGGAAUACCGAUGGCGAAGGCAGCCAUCUGGCCUAAUACUGACACUGAGGUGCGAAAGCAUGGGGAGCAAACAGGAUUAGAUACCCUGGUAGUCCAUGCCGUAAACGAUGUCUACUGGCCGUUGGGGCCUUUGAGGCUUUAGUGGCGCAGCUAACGCGAUAAGUAGACCGCCUGGGGAGUACGG
This 801-nucleotide ribosomal RNA is filed under the name uncultured bacterium. RNAcentral's name for it is "bacterial SSU rRNA". It matches the Rfam family "Bacterial small subunit ribosomal RNA", at positions 89 to 885 of the family's 1533-position model. The record is from RNAcentral.